RNAcentral lists this unclassified non-coding RNA (345 nucleotides) under soil metagenome. RNAcentral's name for it is "partial contains 5.8S ribosomal RNA, internal transcribed spacer 2, and large subunit ribosomal RNA". The stretch from base 1 to 120 matches the Rfam family "5.8S ribosomal RNA", at positions 35 to 154 of the family's 154-position model. The record is from RNAcentral.
GAUGAAGAACGUAGCGAAAUGCGAUACGUAAUGUGAAUUGCAGAAUUCAGUGAAUUAUCGAGUCUUUGAACGCACAUUGCGCCCCCUGGUAUUCCGGGGGGCAUGCCUGUCCGAGCGUCAUUGCUGCCUUCAAGCACGGCUUGUGUGUUGGGCCUCCGUCCUCCUCCCGGGGGACGGGCCCGAAAGGCAGCGGCGGCACCGCGUCCGGUCCUCGAGCGUAUGGGGCUUCGUCACCCGCUCUUGUAGGCCCGGCCGGCGCUUGCCGACACAUCAAUCUUUUUUCCAGGUUGACCUCGGAUCAGGUAGGGAUACCCGCUGAACUUAAGCAUAUCAAUAAGCGGAGGA